RNAcentral lists this ribosomal RNA (266 nucleotides) under uncultured bacterium. RNAcentral's name for it is "partial 16S ribosomal RNA". It matches the Rfam family "Bacterial small subunit ribosomal RNA", at positions 87 to 354 of the family's 1533-position model. The record is from RNAcentral.
CGGUUUUAGUGGCGGACGGGUGAGUAACGCGUGGGUAACCUGCCUCACACUGGGGGAUAACACUUAGAAAUAGGUGCUAAUACCGCAUAAGCGCACGGGACUGCAUGGUCUUGUGUGAAAACUCCGGUGGUGUGAGAUGGACCCGCGUCUGAUUAGCUGGUUGGCGGGGUAACGGCCCACCAAGGCGACGAUCAGUAGCCGGCCUGAGAGGGUGGACGGCCACAUUGGGACUGAGACACGGCCCAAACUCCUACGGGAGGCAGCAG